GAUGAACGCUGGCGGCGUGCCUAAUACAUGCAAGUCGAGCGAACAGAUAAGGAGCUUGCUCCUUUGACGUUAGCGGCGGACGGGUGAGUAACACGUGGGUAACCUACCUAUAAGACUGGGAUAACUUCGGGAAACCGGAGCUAAUACCGGAUAAUAUUUCGAACCGCACGGUUCGAUAGUGAAAGAUGGUUUUGCUAUCACUUAUAGAUGGACCCGCGCCGUAUUAGCUAGUUGGUAAGGUAACGGCUUACCAAGGCGACGAUACGUAGCCGACCUGAGAGGGUGAUCGGCCACACUGGAACUGAGACACGGUCCAGACUCCUACGGGAGGCAGCAGUAGGGAAUCUUCCGCAAUGGGCGAAAGCCUGACGGAGCAACGCCGCGUGAGUGAUGAAGGUCUUCGGAUCGUAAAACUCUGUUAUUAGGGAAGAACAUACGUGUAAGUAACUGUGCACGUCUUGACGGUACCUAAUCAGAAAGCCACGGCUAACUACGUG
Molecule: ribosomal RNA, 497 nt
Filed under: uncultured bacterium
Lineage: Bacteria
Description: partial 16S ribosomal RNA
Rfam family: Bacterial small subunit ribosomal RNA
Source: RNAcentral